This 598-nucleotide long non-coding RNA is filed under the name Salmo salar (Atlantic salmon). RNAcentral describes it as "lncRNA (ENSSSAG00000091525.1)". The record is from RNAcentral. Lineage: Eukaryota; Metazoa; Chordata; Actinopteri; Salmoniformes; Salmonidae.
GUAUGGGCCCCAUGGUGGAGGUGGGGUUAUGGUAUGGGCCCCAUGGUGGAGGUGGGGUUAUGGUAUGGGCCCCAUGGUGGUGGUGGGGUUAUGGUAUGGGCCCCAUGGGGGAGGUGGGGUUAUGGUAUGGGCCCCAUGGUGGAGGUGGGGUUAUGGUAUGGGCCCCAUGGUGGAGGUGGGGUUAUGGUAUGGGCCCCAUGGUGGCGGUGAGGUUAUGGUAUGGGCCCCAUGGUGGAGGUGGGGUUAUGGUAUGGGCCCCAUGGUGGAGGUGGGGUUAUGGUAUGGGCCCCAUGGUGGCGGUGGGCUUAUGGUAUGGGCCCCAUGGUGGAGGUGGGGUUAUGGUAUGGGCCCCAUGGUGGUGGUGGGGUUAUGGUAUGGGCCCCAUGGUGGAGGUGGGGUUAUAGUAUGGGCCCCAUGGUGGCGGUGGGGUUAUGGUAUGGGCCCCAUGGUGGCGGUGGGGUUAUGGUAUGGGCCCCAUGGUGGAGGUGGGGUUAUGGUAUGGGCCCCAUGGUGGAGGUGGGGUUAUGAUAUGAGCCCCAUGGUGGAGGUGGGGUUAUGGUAUGGGCCCCAUGGUGGAGGUGGGGUUGUGGUAUGGGCC